GAUGAACGCUGGCGGCGUGCCUAAUACAUGCAAGUCGAGCGAACAGACGAGGAGCUUUCUCCUCUGACGUUAGCGGCGGACGGGUGAGUAACACGUGGAUACCCUACCUAUAAGACUGGGAUAACUUCGGGAAACCGGAGCUAAUACCGGAUAAUAUAUUGAACCGCAUGGUUCAAUAGUGAAAGACGGUUUUGCUGUCACUUAUAGAUGGAUCCGCGCCGCAUUAGCUAGUUGGUAAGGUAACGGCUUACCAAGGCGACGAUGCGUAGCUGACCUGAGAGGGUGAUCGGCCACACUGGAACUGAGACACGGUCCAGACUCCUACGGGAGGCAGCAGUAGGGAAUCUUCCGCAAUGGGCGAAAGCCUGACGGAGCAACGCCGCGUGAGUGAUGAAGGUCUUCGGAUCGUAAAACUCUGUUAUUAGGGAAGAACAAAUGUGUAAGUAACUAUGCACGUCUUGACGGUACCUAAUCAGAAAGCAACGGCUAACUACGUG
This 497-nucleotide ribosomal RNA is filed under the name uncultured bacterium. RNAcentral's name for it is "partial 16S ribosomal RNA". It matches the Rfam family "Bacterial small subunit ribosomal RNA", at positions 28 to 507 of the family's 1533-position model. The record is from RNAcentral.